RNAcentral lists this transfer RNA (90 nucleotides) under Candidatus Portnoyibacteriota bacterium. RNAcentral's name for it is "tRNA-Ser". It matches the Rfam family "tRNA". From Rfam's summary of the family: Transfer RNA (tRNA) molecules are approximately 80 nucleotides in length. Their secondary structure includes four short double-helical elements and three loops (D, anti-codon, and T loops). Further hydrogen bonds mediate the characteristic L-shaped molecular structure. tRNAs have two regions of fundamental functional importance: the anti-codon, which is responsible for specific mRNA codon recognition, and the 3' end, to which the tRNAs corresponding amino acid is attached (by aminoacyl-tRNA synthetases). tRNAs cope with the degeneracy of the genetic code in two manners: having more than one tRNA (with a specific anti-codon) for a particular amino acid; and 'wobble' base-pairing, i.e. permitting non-standard base-pairing at the 3rd anti-codon position. Lineage: Bacteria; Candidatus Portnoyibacteriota. The record is from RNAcentral.
GGAGGAGUCGCAUAGUGGUCGAUUGCGCUUGCUUGGAAAGCAAGUAGAGCUGAAAGGUUCUCGUGGGUUCGAAUCCCACCUCCUCCGCCA